CCAAAUAAUCACACACAAAGCAUACAAUACUCAAAAUAAGGACAGAGUUACCCUCCUUCUUCGCGACCUGAGAAGAUCGGCCUUCAAUCAACAGAGAAAACCCUAGGUACAAAACCCUAGGUGCAACCGUCGCAAACCUUACUAGAAAUAUGGUCAGGGAUGUCGGAAAGUCACCCAAAACAUCCACUGAGUGAGGAUCGACACGAAAACUAUCUUUAAUGGGGUAGAGUUUCUUCCUUUAGAUUGAAGUAGUUAAAUAGAUCAACAAUUAUCAUUCUCAGAUAGCAGUUAAACCCUAGGUUCAACCACCAGAAACCCUAGAAGCUGAUAAGUCACCGAAAAAUCACCCAAAAAUCAUCGAAAAAUCUCCCAGAACGUUCGAGUGAAGAAGAUAUACUCAGAUAUCACGAUGAAAGUCUCAGAAAAGCAUUCAAUUUAGAUCGGAAUCGUCAUCGACCACAUAUGUCAGAAACACCCCUAAAAAUCUCAAAGGAUACUUCAACCAAGAUAACAAGAUGCAGAAAAAUAUAGUCGGAUCAUCGUCUAGGCUCUGAUACCAUGAAUACUUUGAGAUUUAAACUGAAGAAUCAUGGAGAAUAUAGUGAGAGAAUUUAGAGAGAAGGAGGAGCAGUUGAGAGAACUCUCUAGAAGAGAGAGAAUUUUAUUAAUCAGAAAAUGAAAGUAAAAUGAAGUUUGUCCACAAAAAUAUCUGUCCCCUAUACUAUAUACACGUUGCACUAUUGGGUCGGGUCGGGUGAGCCGGCCCGAAACUAAAUAACUGUUGGGCUCAGAUACACAGUCCAAUCAUCAUAGCCCAG
RNAcentral lists this long non-coding RNA (818 nucleotides) under Nicotiana benthamiana. Its description in RNAcentral is "long non-coding RNA (NBEN_LNC015998)". The record is from RNAcentral. Lineage: Eukaryota; Viridiplantae; Streptophyta; Magnoliopsida; Solanales; Solanaceae.